Spinacia oleracea (spinach) is the source of this 684-nucleotide long non-coding RNA. RefSeq lists it as uncharacterized. The transcript has 4 exons. The record is from RefSeq and is a predicted model, not a curated record. Lineage: Eukaryota; Viridiplantae; Streptophyta; Magnoliopsida; Caryophyllales; Amaranthaceae.
AAUAGGGUGGCAUGGAGCAGCAUCGGGGUGCGACACCAUGGAGAUGGUUUGCAACCAAAGUACAACUCAUGUAAUCCUUCUGAGGCCGUCAAUUAUCUGUUGGCCGACUCUGCCUGGUUCGGUCAUCCAUUGGGUGACAUCUUUCAUCCCUUGAGCGUCCGAGCACUGGUGAACAUAGCUUCAGCAGCAGCAGCAGCAGCAGGUGUUCUGGCAACAACAGUUAUCGAUUACAAGCUAGAAGCAGCAGCAGCAGUUCUGGCAGAAGUAGAAAGCAGCAAUUCUGGCAGCAGCUGCAGUUGAAACAAGAACAAAACCAAGCCAGCCUAAAGAGUGUUUAUUUUCACCAGUUGCUGGACUUUCUUGAAGUUCUCUGCCUUAACUGUGACUAUCACCGUUGGAUAGAGAUCUUCUGUCAUGAUAUCAGUGUGCAUAUUCCUCAUCAUAUCUCUCCUAAAAUUCUAAGUCACGCACACAAUCAAAAUAUCUACAACUAUGGCGAAACCAAGAAACAAAAGCAGAUCCACAGUCACUUUAAUCUGGUCUUCUCAUCUGUGCUUUUCGGAGUUACAAGAGACUAGGUGGACAAUCUAAGGGAACUAAAUUAACAUGGAUUCCAGCACAUUGUGCUCAACAACCGGGAUCACUAGAUUGUGGCUACUACGUCAUGCGUUUUAUGUACGACAU